This is a long non-coding RNA of Gracilinanus agilis (Agile Gracile Mouse Opossum), 615 nucleotides long. RefSeq lists it as uncharacterized. NCBI's taxonomy places the organism in Eukaryota, Metazoa, Chordata, Mammalia, Didelphimorphia, Didelphidae. The transcript has 2 exons. The record is from RefSeq and is a predicted model, not a curated record.
GGCGCCGCUGCCACCGGGGGCCUGGGCUACCGCGCUGCCCACGGCGUGCUCCUGGAGGCCCUGGACGAGCUGCAGGCCGACGCGGAGGCCGUGCUGGGCCCGGGCCCCGAGGCUGAGUAACGGGCUGCGGGAGUAGGGCCCGGGGCUGCUCGGAAGCCUGGGUCUCAGCGGGAAGAGGAGGAGGCCAGGACUCCGAAGGGCCGCCUUCACCUGAGGGGCUGCGGGACAAACGGAAGAGAGACGUGGUCCCCCCCCCCCCCCCCGCCUGGGAAAGCUCCCCCGCGUUGGCUCUCUCAGGGCGGCCGCGGGGUGCAGUGGGAAUACAAGGGAUGCGGGGAGCUGUGGACCUGCAGCUCUGCCCGCGGCAGGCUUCCGAAGGCGAAUCUGGAGUCGGAAAGGACCCAAGAGCGCACCUAGCCCAGACUGUACCCGGGCCGGAAUCCUGCCACCACGUGGUAGGGGAGCGCCAGCCCUGAGAGCAGCGUCCUUCCAGGAGGGAGCACCGAGGAUGGAGAGCUCACUCCCUCCCGAGACAAUCCGUCCGACUCCGGGCUAGCGGGGGGCGUGGCCACAGAGCUGGUGGGUUUUUAAAUAAAUAUUUUGGUAAUAUUUCAA